Molecule: non-coding RNA, 114 nt
Organism: Arabidopsis thaliana x Arabidopsis arenosa
Lineage: Eukaryota; Viridiplantae; Streptophyta; Magnoliopsida; Brassicales; Brassicaceae
Source: the annotation of a GenBank genome assembly
AAGCCAUAAUGAGGGCAUUGGUUGGUAUAACCCUUGAAACGUCCCAUGCUUCACAGAAGCUUUCACUAGCUUUCUUUAAGGCUGUAGAAAGCCGAAGAUCUCAUUUCUAAGUCU